This 1293-nucleotide long non-coding RNA is filed under the name Canis lupus dingo (dingo). RNAcentral's name for it is "lncRNA (ENSCAFG00020021441.1)". The record is from RNAcentral. Lineage: Eukaryota; Metazoa; Chordata; Mammalia; Carnivora; Canidae.
GCUGAGUUCACAGCUGGAACAACAAGUUGUGCUGUGAAUCUCCGUGAUUUACCCAAGUAGCAAACAGGGUCAUCGGCUUAGUUGGAAUUUCAGUUGCCAAGCGAACUAGGAAUCGCUUCGCGUUGGUCCAGCAACACCGAUAAAAGUGUUUGUUUCUUGGUAGAGAAUGAAAAUGACGCAGAGCGUAACUGAUCGACAGAGCAUCGAUCACUUUCCUCUCCCUUUCCCCCGGGUCGGUGCCAGAGAGUCUAGGGCUCACUUCUAGACGCCCAGGGGCCACCAGGAUCUCCAUUUUCCCCAAACGCACGAAAGGCUAAAAACAGCCUUCCUCCCCGGCACCGCGGCGUGGCCGCAGCCGCUUUGUUUACCAUAUAAGUCACCUCGGGGGUUCACUGCUCGCCUUCUCCCCCGUUUUCAAGCUGGGUGCCGCGAGAGGCUGAGGAGCAUCCCCAAACUCCCGCGCGGCCCGGCUCAGCCGCAGGAAGCCGCACAACCGCGGUCUGGAGCCCUCAGGAGAAACCCUGCGGCCGGAGCCUUUGAACUCCUGACCCCCGGGGAUGCCCGCCUCCCGGGAGGGAGCCGGCUUCCCGGGCACUGGAGAAACUUCACCGGGAUCCCAGAGAGAAGCGACGUGCAGCCGCGGUCAAACGGGGCUCUGAGGCGGCGCGACACCCCCUUUACCUGCAAAGUUGGCAGGCUCCGGGCCGAGGCGAGGCCGGUCCCAGGACGCGUGGCGCGGGUGCUCCGCCGGGGACAGCACGCCCGGCCGAUUGCAGCGGGGUUUCCUCCGUCGCCGCCGAGUUGUGGAGCAUUCCAAGGAAAACGCCAGAGCUGGAGCCCACGCAGCUGGCACCGAACUGGGCGGAGUGAGGAUGCUCCGAGCCGCGCCGGGGGCGGCGGGGGAGGGGCGGCGCGGCGGGGGCGGCGAGCUCCGGCCCCCUCCGCGAUCCCUCGGGCUUACUACUCAUCUCCUGUGUUUAUCGCAAGCUCAGCCUUGACAUCGGUCCUAAAUUUUUAGGAUCAUCCCCUCCAAAAUACUGAAGUCCACUGAGGAAAACCUGGUUUCUACAACAUCUCUCCAGAAAACAAAGGCAAGAACAACAUCCGAAGGAUUCCCUUCUUUCCCGUAUCCCUUUUUUACUCUUGUCCACAAGAAAACAUUAACAUCUUUAAAUGUUUUGUUUAGUUUUCUUAAUAUCAAGUAAUGGCUUUUAUGAAAUAUGCAAGAACACAUCUAUCUGUACACAUGGUAAUGAACUUUAUAAUAAACACAAGUCUGCUUUCUAUUUAACA